RNAcentral lists this long non-coding RNA (918 nucleotides) under Anas platyrhynchos platyrhynchos (common mallard). RNAcentral describes it as "lncRNA (ENSAPLG00000023431.1)". The record is from RNAcentral. Lineage: Eukaryota; Metazoa; Chordata; Aves; Anseriformes; Anatidae.
AAGUUUAAUUUCUGUGGGUUUUGUCUUAUUUGGAAGAAUCAUAUUAAAAAUAUGCAGAAUCAGCAUUGCCUGUUCAAACCAUGACUAUUCUUCAUGCAGGUUUUCCUCAUUUUGUUUCUGGAGUGGUCCUGUUCAGCUGUGCAUUUGGAGAGCAUUCUGGAUUACUCAUGUUGUGGUAGACAUUCUGCAGUUCUACUGCCAGGUUCCAGCUCAUUUUCAGAGGAACAGCCAAGUACUCCACAUGGUCAGCACUGACACAACUCAGUUUUAUAUACACAGCCACCACUCAUGUGAGAAAGAGCUCACAUAUUUGGGGAUAUACUAGGACCAUGGAGAGUGCUUCCAUUAGCCCUGAGGGGCAUCCCUCCAGGCCCUGCGUGUGGCAGAAAGCAUUUAAAGUAAAUAUGUAUUUGCAAAGAAAAAGUCAUAUGUAUGUGUAUGUGUAUGUAUGUGUACAUGCAUGUGCAUGUUGAAGCUGAAGCUGCUAAGCUGAAGACUAGAUGAAUGUGCAAGUGAUUUAUGUGUGAAAUUCCCCUCAAGGAAAUGUUUUAUUUUUCUGGUUCUGUAUACAUUCCACACUUCUUGUAAGUUGUUCUUUGUCUGCAAUGAAAAACGGUUUGCUUAAGGAGAUUUUGAUGGACAUGUCAGUUUGUAUGGAUUUUUUGAAGUGGUAUCCUGAAAUAGGACUUUUAAAUCUUUUGAUAGCAGAAAAAUAACUGAGUCCUCCUCUCCUCACACUGCAUAGAAACACCUUGCCAGCCAUUUACCUUUUCUUGUAUCGCUUACAUCUCUCAUGUUUCUUGUAGCAACAGCAGCAAUUGCACACAGACACAAUUUUGCAGAAAGUGUAAUGUGUUUUUAUCUGGCAGCUACACUUGGCAGGCCUCUCUUAAGAGCCUUAGUAACUCUGUACAUCCC